Molecule: RNA transcript, 1074 nt
Organism: Halichondria panicea
Lineage: Eukaryota; Metazoa; Porifera; Demospongiae; Suberitida; Halichondriidae
Exons: 4
Source: RefSeq, a predicted model, not a curated record
GCCCAUGUAGGCGAAAAGUGCACAGCAAGUGGAAAAAUGGGAGAAAGAAGCUAUCAGACGUACCUGCCAACCUCUAAUAUUAAAUUUACUUGGUAGAAUCAAAGAUUGUGCUUGAAAUUAGAUGACCAAUAUAAAAAUACUUACAAAAAAGUAACAUCAUUCCAGUGACAGAUUUUGAUUGUUAAUUAAUUCCCUGUUUAUUUUGUGGGUUUUGUGCACAUCCUGCCAGGCUCAUGGAUUUCCAACGUGUUUUGUGCUCGAAAUUAUACCCCUUAGCCGGGAUACCGGGAAGAGAGACAAUUUUGAGGGAUAUUCCUGGUAAGAAGGUAUGAGCUAUCAGUAUCAACAUGAAGGGCCUCCUCCAUCAUAUCACACGCUGCAUGAUCAAGCUCCUCCGCCUCCAGCUCCAAGACCAAGUGCCCCUCCACUUUUUCCAGUGACAGAUUUUGAUGGGGCCAAUCCACAGCCGCCAAGGGAGAAUGCUCCACUGCUAUCAGACACUCCUGAAGUGAAUGCAGAAACGGAAGUGUUCAGUCUUGAGAAGUUUGUGUUUCUAUGGCUAGGAAUUGGUCGUAAAUAUUCGGGGCUGUGCCUUGUGGUGUUUUUGCUCCUAUAUGUCGGGGGAAUUGUCAUAAUUAGUUUUGCAGCACUCUUUCUUUCAUUUCGGCCUUAUCCAAAUCCAGAUCCAGAUCCGUAUUAUUAUUGUAAUCCUCAACAAGGUUAUAUUUUGUGCCUUCUUUCUGGAGUCUUGUUCCUUUUGAUUGGAAGUUACUGGCCAAUUGCUUACUGCUGGAAAAGAAGGCAGAGUCGCAACUUCACAAUGCUCGGCUGCUACUCGUGUGUUUUGUCAGCUUUAAUCGUCUCUUGUGUGGCAGCAUUGGGUGCGACAAUGGGUAGUCAAUGUAUUGACGUUCUUUCAUUUAGUGUUUCUAUCGCUAUGGGAGUUGUUAUUUUCAUAUUUUUGUGCUCUAGUGUUUGUUGUUUGUGUUGUAGCAACAAAAUUGGUAGAAUUUGUUAGGUUAAAGAGACGGAUAUUUUAACUUUGUUCUUGAGGUACAUGUAUUCGCAAAAUUU